RNAcentral lists this ribosomal RNA (432 nucleotides) under uncultured bacterium. Its description in RNAcentral is "partial 16S ribosomal RNA". It matches the Rfam family "Bacterial small subunit ribosomal RNA", at positions 29 to 507 of the family's 1533-position model. The record is from RNAcentral.
ACGAACGCUGGCGGCAUGCCUCACACAUGCAAGUCGCACGAGACCUUCGGGUCUAGUGGCGCACGGGUGCGUAACGCGUGGGAACCUGCCCUUAGGUUCGGAAUAACUCCCCGAAAGGGGUGCUAAUACCGGAUAAUGUCUUCGGACCAAAGAUUUAUCGCCUUUGGAUGGGCCCGCGUUGGAUUAGCUAGUUGGUAGGGUAAAAGCCUACCAAGGCGACGAUCCAUAGCUGGUCUGAGAGGAUGAUCAGCCACACUGGGACUGAGACACGGCCCAGACUCCUGCGGGAGGCAGCAGUGGGGAAUAUUGGACAAUGGGCGAAAGCCUGAUCCAGCAAUGCCGCGUGAGUGAUGAAGGCCUUAGGGUUGUAAAGCUCUUUUACCCGGGAUGAUAAUGACAGUACCGGGAGAAUAAGCACCGGCUAACUCCGUG